Felis catus (domestic cat) is the source of this 85-nucleotide non-coding RNA. The record is from Rfam. NCBI's taxonomy places the organism in Eukaryota, Metazoa, Chordata, Mammalia, Carnivora, Felidae.
GCCUGGGUGGCUCAGUUGGUUGAGCAACCGACUUCAGCUCAGGUUAUGAUCUCACUGCUUGUGAGUUCGAGCCCCACGUCGGGCU